UACGUAGGGGGCGAGCGUUGUCCGGAUUUACUGGGCGUAAAGAGCGCGUAGGCGGAAAUUUAAGCGUGGCCUGAAAGCCCCCGGCUCAACCGGGGAGUGCGGCUGCGAACUGGGUUUCUUGAGGACGAUAGAGGAGAGUGGAAUUCCUGGUGUAGCGGUGAAAUGCGUAGAUAUCAGGAGGAACACCCGAGGCGAAGGCGGCUCUCUGGGUCGUACCUGACGCUGAGGCGCGAAAGCGUGGGGAGCGAACGGGAUUAGAUACCCCGGUAGUCCACGCCGUAAACGAUGGUCACUAGGUGUGUGUGGUAUCGACCCCGCACGUGCCGCAGCUAACGCAAUAAGUGACCCGCCUGGGGAGUACGGCCGCAAGGUUGAA
This 376-nucleotide ribosomal RNA is filed under the name uncultured bacterium. RNAcentral's name for it is "bacterial SSU rRNA". It matches the Rfam family "Bacterial small subunit ribosomal RNA", at positions 524 to 898 of the family's 1533-position model. The record is from RNAcentral.